AGCAGUAGCCGCGGUAAUACGGAGGGGGCUAGCGUUGUUCGGAAUUACUGGGCGUAAAGCGCACGUAGGCGGCUUUGUAAGUUAGAGGUGAAAGCCUGAUGCUCAACAUCAGAAUUGCCUUUAAGACUGCAUCGCUUGAACGUCGGAGAGGUGAGUGGAAUUCCGAGUGUAGAGGUGAAAUUCGUAGAUAUUCGGAAGAACACCAGUGGCGAAGGCGGCUCACUGGACGACUGUUGACGCUGAGGUGCGAAAGCGUGGGGAGCAAACAGGAUUAGAUACCCCAGUAGUCCCUGUCUCUUAUAC
RNAcentral lists this ribosomal RNA (303 nucleotides) under uncultured bacterium. Its description in RNAcentral is "partial 16S ribosomal RNA". It matches the Rfam family "Bacterial small subunit ribosomal RNA", at positions 507 to 807 of the family's 1533-position model. The record is from RNAcentral.